AUUGAACGCUGGCGGCAGGCCUAACACAUGCAAGUCGAGCGGAUGAGGGGAGCUUGCUCCUGGAUUCAGCGGCGGACGGGUGAGUAAUGCCUAGGAAUCUGCCUGGUAGUGGGGGAUAACGUCCGGAAACGGGCGCUAAUACCGCAUACGUCCUGAGGGAGAAAGUGGGGGAUCUUCGGACCUCACGCUAUCAGAUGAGCCUAGGUCGGAUUAGCUAGUUGGUGGGGUAAAGUCCUACCAAGGCGACGAUCCGUAACUGCUCUGAGAGGAUGAUCAGUCACACUGGAACUGAGACACGGUCCAGACUCCUACGGGAGGCAGCAGUGGGGAAUAUUGGACAAUGGGCGAAAGCCUGAUCCAGCCAUGCCGCGUGUGUGAAGAAGAUCUUCGGAUUGUAAAGCACUUUAAGUUGGGAGGAAGGGCAGUAAGUUAAUACCUUGCUGUUUUGACGUUACCAACAGAAUAAGCACCGGCUAACUUCGUG
RNAcentral lists this ribosomal RNA (484 nucleotides) under uncultured bacterium. RNAcentral's name for it is "partial 16S ribosomal RNA". It matches the Rfam family "Bacterial small subunit ribosomal RNA", at positions 30 to 507 of the family's 1533-position model. The record is from RNAcentral.